UUAUAUUCUUUUUUGCAUACUGUCUUCCAAAUAGGGUGUGUAGUUUAUACUUAGAGUACAUCACAACUCCAGCCAGCCAUAUUUCAGGUGUUCAGUAGCCUCUUGGGCGUGGUGAAUACCAAAUCGGUCAGAGCAGGUGUAUAGAGGAGGCUAGACAUGGCGAUCAAAAGUGCAGCCUGCAAUCCAGAUGCUUGAGUUUGAAUAUUGGCCUCAUCACCUUAGCUGUAUGACCUCAUCUGUAAAACAAGAAUACUUAAGUAAUACCAUCCUUAAGCCGUUGGUAUGAGGAUAAAAUAAAAUAGUCCUUGUAAGGCUUUUUGCAAGAAUUCUGGCAAAUAUUGUGCUUAAUAAAUGUUAGCUAGGGUGGUCACUUUAUAAUGCAUGAGCUCUAUACUUAAAAACAUAUGUGGUCCUGAACAAGUUAUCUUACCUCUUUGAAUAUUAGUUUCCUUCUCUGUAAAACAGGGGUGAUAAUAAUACUUCAUUGAGAAGAUUAACUGGUACAAACAUAGCACUUAAUAAAUGUUCGUUUCUUUCUCCUUGACUUUAGGUGCCAAUGAACAGAGAAAUAGCCAAAGGGCUCGCUGAGUGGGAGCAGAGGAUUGAUUUGUUCAGAGUUUUGAAAUUACCAGGGAAGAGCUUUUGAGGAUGUUUGAGAUCCAUGAUUCAAAACAGGGAGGGACACAUGAGUGGCAGGUGACAUCAGAAGCCACCAGCCAUUCCUCAAAUUGCCAGCUCUGGAGCCCUCCAUCCUGCACUAGAAGGAGAUACUGCAAACCCUGCCAAGGUGUUCAUGCUUCUCGUGCUUUAACAUUUCAAAAAGCUCAAUUCCCAAAGACAGUGAAACUGCCACGAAAAACAAAAUGAACUCUGGAUGACAAGGAGGCCCAGUCAUUUCUCCUAUCAAUGGAAAGGGCAAUUUUGAUCAGAGACAAAUAGUACUUGAUUUUACCUAUAGGGACUUAUGACUUAUUCACAGCUCUGACUCCUCUUCUCCACAGGAAUUCAAUAAUGUAAACCUAAUAAUAAAAAAUGACAUAAAAUGAAUGUAAUGAGAACACCCUAAAACUAGUUUCCCUCCUGGCCUAUCUCCAUGUUGCAUCUUUCAGAAAGUGUCAGAAACGAGACUUAAACAAACAAAUAAAAAAAAAAACCCCAAACCAGAACCUAAUGCUGAUGUGAUCGUUUAAAUAAACUAAACACAACUGGAUAAGGAAGCUGUUUUACAAAAAUAAAAAUAGAAAAAAAUUUCUUGACAAGAGGCAUGGAUUAUUCAGGAUCCCUGUGUUAUUCUAAUUGUUUCAGUGCUAUUAGGUGCAUUUUAGGGGAAUGUGGCCCUGAUGGAUAAAUGCACCUUUAAUUCAUUUCUAAGGCAGUGAUGUGAGAUAUAAGACUUUUUUGGGUAGGCACAACCCCAAAAAUGUCAUGUAAAUCUUGAAAAGUUUUUCAUCCAAAAACCCCAAAGGGUUUACUCAUCUCAACAUCUGCAUUUGAUAGGCAGAGGGAGAAGAAUGACUACAAGAGGAAGAUUAUCUGAGAUUAAAACUGGAGACCUCCUAGAGGCUGGGCUCCCAUAGGCACCCUGGCCCAGACCACAGCAGGGAGGGAAUUCCUCCAUUCUGCCUUUGUGCCUCAUCUCCUGAGUUAGAGAUGGUAGCUUAGUUUCCUUUCUUGGUUCCCUUCUGUAUUCCUUACAGAUAAAGAGAUGUUCAAUACACAUGUGUUGGCAGAAUGGCCUCCAUUUUAUAAGAGUGGAGGUGACUUAGCAGGACACAUGCUAUUUAUACAAACAGAAGAACCUAGCAGCACAAACAUGAGUAGGGAUCUCUUUAUUACUGCUCCUGGAGGUGGAUUUAUAGUGAAGUGAAUGAGGGCCCCUCAUGGGCGCAGACUGCUUCCAAGGCCUGGAACCUAACUUUUCAUUUGCAAUUGUGUGUUAUUUUUCUUGAAAAAAGUUUUCAAAUUGCAUGAGUUUCAGGCCUCACAAAACUUGAAUCUGCUGUGGAUUGCUCUUAAAAGCGGUAUACAAACGCCAUCUUGGAUUUUUCACCUGUCAUUAUUUUAACUCCUAGUCAUCCAAAGCAAAUAUAAAUCAAUUAGUUUUGUAGCCAUGGACAAACGAGGCCUGGGUUUCCUCAUUUCUGAAAAUGAAAGGUGAUUGAAUAUGAUUCCUCAGAUCCCAAAAGAGAGCAAUGUAGGGAAGGAGGGCACAGUGAGAAACAGAAGGAGGCAAAGGCUAGGACACCCUGGUGCUGGCUACACUACUAAUAGCUGGCGUAUGACCUUCAGUGAAGAACUUUACCUCUCAGGGCCUCAUUUUCUCUACUAUGAAAUGAGGCAGGCAGACAAGACAUUCUCUAAGGUCCCAUCUUGUCCCAUGAUUCCAGUGCCCUGACUUGUGCAGUGUGUCACCUCUCAUGGCCACUCUCACUGGGUGCUCACAGUAGCCCUGAGACUAGUCAGUGGAACACUCUGGUGAGCUUCAGAAUUCAAAUUCAGUGCUCUUCUUACUAUACCACAUGGGAGAUAUUUUCCAGCUAAACCGUAAACAAGGCUAAUAUCAUUGGUUUGAUGGCCUUCAAAUAUGCACUGUUGUCAUGCCGAGUCAAAGAUGAUAGUCUGACAUAAACCAGCGUUGCAGUGUAGAUGUGGCGAAUGACAAGGGAGUGGCUCCUUUCCCACAAGAGGCACUGGACUUGAAGCUGCAGCUGGUACAGCCCAUCUGCAGGGAAAUGCCAUUUUCUUCUCAUGCCUCUGUUCAAAACUUGAGUCCCACUGCUUACAGCUAGACAAUCAU
This 2797-nucleotide long non-coding RNA is filed under the name Homo sapiens (human). RNAcentral's name for it is "HSALNT0218219". Lineage: Eukaryota; Metazoa; Chordata; Mammalia; Primates; Hominidae. The record is from RNAcentral.